This 459-nucleotide ribosomal RNA is filed under the name uncultured bacterium. RNAcentral describes it as "partial 16S ribosomal RNA". It matches the Rfam family "Bacterial small subunit ribosomal RNA", at positions 338 to 795 of the family's 1533-position model. The record is from RNAcentral.
CCUACGGGAGGCAGCAGUGAGGAAUAUUGGUCAAUGGGCGCGAGCCUGAACCAGCCAAGUAGCGUGAGGGAAGACGGUCCUAUGGAUUGUAAACCUCUUUUGUCGGGGAGCAAAAGACGCCACGCGUGGCGUUCCGCGUGUACCCGACGAAAAAGCAUCGGCUAACUCCGUGCCAGCACCCGCGGUAAUACGGAGGAUGCGAGGGUUAUCCGGAUUUAUUGGGUUUAAAGGGUGCGCAGGCGGAAGAUCAAGUCAGCGGUAAAAUUGAGAGGCUCAACCUCUUCGAGCCGUUGAAACUGGUUGUCUUGAGUGAGCGAGAGGUAUGCGGAAUGCGUGGUGUAGCGGUGAAAUGCAUAGAUAUCACGCAGAACUCCGAUUGCGAAGGCAGCAUACCGGCGCUCAACUGACGCUGAUGCACGAAAGUGUGGGUAUCGAACAGGAUUAGAUACCCGUGUAGUC